UUAUACGAGUUUAAUAUUGUAUUUUAUUAAAUAAAAAUAAUAUAAUACCACCCCUCCCCCUCCGUAGACCAGUUGAUUAAUCCGUUAUUCUGUUACAGUCACUUGUUUAAAAUGGAGAGAAGAACGAAGAGGAGUGGUGCCCAAAAUAGAAAACGAAAAAAAGAACAUGUAAAACAAUGCCUUAAAAUGAAAUCUGCUAUGCCAAAUUGGAUAAUCAGAGAUUGCCAUGAAGAUGGGGAGGGCAAUGACAAAAUAGCAGUAAAUGAGUUCAGAGCAGGUGAAGAGAACAGUCAUGAAGAUGGUGAGGACAGAGAGCAAGAAAAUGUAAAUAGAGCCAGAGAAAAGAACAGGUAGGAAUGGCCCCACAAAAAAUAAAUGAAUAAAUGGCAGGUCAGGGUUUUGCAAAUUUAGGUAUUGUUUGUCUUGCAAUUUUAUUCAGCAGGAAAAUCUUGACAAGGUCUUCCCAAAUUUAACAGUGGCAUUAAGAGUUUUCCUAACAAUGCAACUAACUGUUGCCUCUGCAGAAAGAUCUUUCAGCAAACUGAAACUUAUAAAAACAUACCUUCGUUCAACUAUGCACAAUGACCGCUUGUCACAGCUUGCAAUCAUCUCCAUUGAAAACAAUCUAGCAAGGUCAACCUCAUUUGAUGAAAUACUUGACAAAUGGGCAAGUACAAAAGCAAGGCAUGUUA
Long non-coding RNA from Danio aesculapii, 692 nucleotides. RefSeq lists it as uncharacterized. The transcript is spliced from 3 exons. NCBI's taxonomy places the organism in Eukaryota, Metazoa, Chordata, Actinopteri, Cypriniformes, Danionidae. The record is from RefSeq and is a predicted model, not a curated record.